Long non-coding RNA from Danio aesculapii, 1095 nucleotides. RefSeq lists it as uncharacterized. Lineage: Eukaryota; Metazoa; Chordata; Actinopteri; Cypriniformes; Danionidae. The record is from RefSeq and is a predicted model, not a curated record. The transcript has 8 exons.
GAGGCUUGAUGAUACAACACAUAAACACAAAUCCUGACAGCUCCGUGAUUUCAUUAUAAUAUCUGUAAACAGCACAUAAACAAGCCGAACCGUAAAGUGCAGGAACACAGUGACAAUACAGUGACCUGCUUGCUAUCGCUGAAACACAAAGACAGUUUGAAGGCCUUAACCUUGACCUCAGGUUAUCGUUAGACAGAAUGAAGUGAAGGACCCUUCAUGCACCAGACGGCAGGAGGGAUUCAUUAACUCACCUCGACUUCAACAGCAUGCUUGCUAUCGCUGAAACACAAAGACAGUUUGAAGGCCAUAACCUUGACCUCAGGUUAUCGUUAGACAGAAUGAAGUGAAGGACCCUUCAUGCACCAGACGGCAGGAGGGAUUCAUUAACUGACCUCGACUUCAACAGCAUGCUUGCUAUCGCUGAAACACAAAGACAGUUUGAAGGCCAUAACCUUGACCUCAGGUUAUCAUUAGACAGAAUGAAGUGAAGGACCCUUCAUGCACCAGACGGCAGGAGGGAUUCAUUAACUCACCUCGACUUCAACAGCAUGCUUGCUAUCGCUGAAACACAAAGACAGUUUGAAGGCCAUAACCUUGACCUCAGGUUAUCAUUAGACAGAAUGAAGUGAAGGACCCUUCAUGCACCAGACGGCAGGAGGGAUUCAUUAACUCACCUCGACUUCAACAGCAUGCUUGCUAUCGCUGAAACUGAGACAGUUUGAAGACCAUAACCUUGACCUCAGGUUAUCGUUAGACAGAAUGAAGUGAAGGACCCUUCAUGCACCAGACGGCAGGAGGGAUUCAUUAACUCACCUCGACUUCAACAGCAUGCUUGCUAUCGCUGAAACACAAAGACAGUUUGAAGGCCAUAACCUUGACCUCAGGUUAUCAUUAGACAGAAUGAAGUGAAGGACCCUUCAUGCACCAGACGGCAGGAGGGAUUCAUUAACUCACCUCGACUUCAACAGCAUGCUUGCUAUCGCUGAAACACAAAGACAGUUUGAAGGCCAUAACCUUGACCUCAGGUUAUCAUUAGACAGAAUGAAGUGAAGGACCCUUCAUACACCAGACGGCAGGAGGGAUUCAUUAACUCAC